This 70-nucleotide transfer RNA is filed under the name Peroryctes raffrayana (Raffray's bandicoot). RNAcentral describes it as "tRNA-Ala". It matches the Rfam family "tRNA". From Rfam's summary of the family: Transfer RNA (tRNA) molecules are approximately 80 nucleotides in length. Their secondary structure includes four short double-helical elements and three loops (D, anti-codon, and T loops). Lineage: Eukaryota; Metazoa; Chordata; Mammalia; Peramelemorphia; Peroryctidae. The record is from RNAcentral.
UAAGAAUUUAGCUUAAUAAAAGUGUUCGAUUUGCGUUCGAAUGAUGCAGGAUAGAGUCUUGUAAUUCUUA